This 301-nucleotide ribosomal RNA is filed under the name uncultured bacterium. Its description in RNAcentral is "partial 16S ribosomal RNA". It matches the Rfam family "Bacterial small subunit ribosomal RNA", at positions 509 to 808 of the family's 1533-position model. The record is from RNAcentral.
CAGCAGCCGCGGUAAUACAGAGGGUGCAAGCGUUAAUCGGAAUUACUGGGCGUAAAGCGCGCGUAGGUGGUUUGUUAAGUUGGAUGUGAAAGCCCCGGGCUCAACCUGGGAACUGCAUCCAAAACUGGCAAGCUAGAGUACGGUAGAGGGUGGUGGAAUUUCCUGUGUAGCGGUGAAAUGCGUAGAUAUAGGAAGGAACACCAGUGGCGAAGGCGACCACCUGGACUGAUACUGACACUGAGGUGCGAAAGCGUGGGGAGCAAACAGGAUUAGAACCCGAGUAGUCCCUGUCUCUUAUACA